RNAcentral lists this ribosomal RNA (688 nucleotides) under Actinomycetales bacterium 22-6PB. RNAcentral describes it as "bacterial SSU rRNA". It matches the Rfam family "Bacterial small subunit ribosomal RNA", at positions 122 to 824 of the family's 1533-position model. The record is from RNAcentral. Lineage: Bacteria; Bacillati; Actinomycetota; Actinomycetes; Actinomycetales.
UAACCUGCCCUUAACUCUGGGAUAAGCCUGGGAAACUGGGUCUAAUACCGGAUAUGACCCGUCACCGCAUGGUGGUGGGAGGAAAGAUUUUUUGGUUUUGGAUGGACUCGCGGCCUAUCAGCUUGUUGGUGAGGUAAUGGCUCACCAAGGCGACGACGGGUAGCCGGCCUGAGAGGGUGACCGGCCACACUGGGACUGAGACACGGCCCAGACUCCUACGGGAGGCAGCAGUGGGGAAUAUUGCACAAUGGGCGCAAGCCUGAUGCAGCGACGCCGCGUGAGGGAUGAAGGCCUUCGGGUUGUAAACCUCUUUCAGUAGGGAAGAAGCGAAAGUGACGGUACCUGCAGAAGAAGCGCCGGCUAACUACGUGCCAGCAGCCGCGGUAAUACGUAGGGCGCAAGCGUUAUCCGGAAUUAUUGGGCGUAAAGAGCUCGUAGGCGGUUUGUCGCGUCUGCCGUGAAAGUCCGGGGCUCAACUCCGGAUCUGCGGUGGGUACGGGCAGACUAGAGUGAUGUAGGGGAGACUGGAAUUCCUGGUGUAGCGGUGAAAUGCGCAGAUAUCAGGAGGAACACCGAUGGCGAAGGCAGGUCUCUGGGCAUUAACUGACGCUGAGGAGCGAAAGCAUGGGGAGCGAACAGGAUUAGAUACCCUGGUAGUCCAUGCCGUAAACGUUGGGCACUAGGUGUG